UAAUACGAAGGGUGCUAGCGUUGUUCGGAAUUACUGGGCGUAAAGCGCGCGCAGGCGGCUUUCCAAGUCAGAGGUGAAAGCCCGGGGCUUAACCCCGGAAUUGCCUUUGAAACUGGUUGGCUUGAGUGUCGGAGGGGAUAGCGGAAUUUCUAAUGUAGCGGUGAAAUGCGUAGAUAUUAGAAGGAACACCGGUGGCGAAGGCGGCUAUCUGGACGACAACUGACGCUGAGGCGCGAAAGCGCGGGGAUCAAACAGG
This 256-nucleotide ribosomal RNA is filed under the name uncultured bacterium. Its description in RNAcentral is "partial 16S ribosomal RNA". It matches the Rfam family "Bacterial small subunit ribosomal RNA", at positions 521 to 776 of the family's 1533-position model. The record is from RNAcentral.